RNAcentral lists this long non-coding RNA (812 nucleotides) under Mus spicilegus (steppe mouse). RNAcentral's name for it is "lncRNA (ENSMSIG00000014722.1)". The record is from RNAcentral. Lineage: Eukaryota; Metazoa; Chordata; Mammalia; Rodentia; Muridae.
GGGAAGUUCGCUGACCCCUUAAGGAGGAGAUACUAGUUUUCUUCUCUCUUCUUUUCCAGCAGGUGAAAGACCUGCAGAGACUCCAGCAUGUACAGGCCAAGGAAGAUUCGAGGCUUUUUGAAGGCUGCCGUGAGAGUCAGCUUUUCUAUACACAAGUUUGUUGAGACCCUUUCAUAAAAGAAAAGCCAGAAUCCGCAGAAGAAUGCAGUGGAAAUACUAAAAUAACAUUUCUCUAUACCAGGGGAGAAUUAUCAGUACUUUAAGAAGUUAAGAAUACAAUUUAGAAUACAAGAAUUUUUUUUUUUAGCAUAGGAAUGCGAUGGUGAUGUUUUCAUAGAUCUUCGUGUGAAUUAUCAGUUUGUUGUACUCACUGCUAAGAGCAUUUUAUCUAUGCACUGUCAUAACAGGAGUCGCUUUUGCUUCUUUUUAACCAACAACCCCCCACCCAUUUAAAUCCUGAUGGCUUUGGCUUAAGUGACUGCAUCUGAUCUUCCUCCAAUGAUUAGCUGAAGCUAUUCCAUGAUCUUAUCAUAUAGACGCAGAGCCUGGAGUCCAGAGACUCGGAUAAUGUACAUGUCUUCUUUUAUGGAAACAUGUUAUGUGUAUUUUUUCCUCGCUUUCCCUUUGCUCACCCGCAGCCUGCUCUCAGAGUUCUGCUCAUACUAGGAAAUGGAUUUAUUCAAGGAUGUGCCAAAGCUGGGAAAAGAGAAAAUAGCAGUUCUAGAAAGCAGAACAAAGCCCGAAUCCUGAACAGGAGUCUAAGGAGGACUUAGACUUGGAGGAGGACUGUCUGAACAUAACAAAGAGCGUUG